CCUUCAAAUGUGGAGAUUUACAUGGCUUUUUUUAUGUUUUGAUUUAUUUCAAACAUAUUUGUAACUAUGAUCAAUACUAUAAGAUCAAUGGCACCAUCUACACUUAACCAACAUAGGUCAGUUGCAGCCCUACAUCACGUCCCUACAAAGUUUCCUUUCGUGUUAUUUGAUGACGUUGAGAGCGAUGACUUACCAAAAUUUAAGAGUAUCGUAGCCAGAAUCGUUGUUAAGUUCCCUAGACGUCAUGACAGCCAACAUUUUAUUCUACAAGACAUCACUGGGUCAAAAAUAGAAGCAAUUUCAUACCGCGAUAAUGUCCAAAGAUUUGACACCUUACUCCAACAAGGAUCUACAUAUACAUUAUAUGGAGUGGCGUU
Long non-coding RNA from Zea mays, 377 nucleotides. RefSeq lists it as uncharacterized. NCBI's taxonomy places the organism in Eukaryota, Viridiplantae, Streptophyta, Magnoliopsida, Poales, Poaceae. The transcript is spliced from 3 exons. The record is from RefSeq and is a predicted model, not a curated record.